AGUGAACGCUGGCGGUAGGCCUAACACAUGCAAGUCGAACGGCAGCACAGUAAGAGCUUGCUCUUACGGGUGGCGAGUGGCGGACGGGUGAGGAAUACAUCGGAAUCUACUUUUUCGUGGGGGAUAACGUAGGGAAACUUACGCUAAUACCGCAUACGACCUACGGGUGAAAGCAGUGGAUCUUCGGACCUUUCGCGAUUGAAUGAGCCGAUGUCGGAUUAGCUAGUUGGCGGGGUAAAGGCCCACCAAGGCGACGAUCCGUAGCUGGUCUGAGAGGAUGGUCAGCCACACUGGAACUGAGACACGGUCCAGACUCCUACGGGAGGCAGCAGUGGGGAAUAUUGGACAAUGGGCGGAAGCCUGAGCCAGCCAGGCCGCGUGGGUGAAGAAGGCCUUCGGGUUGUAAAGCCCUUUUGUUGGGAAAGAAAAGCAGCAGGUUAAUACCCCGCUGUUCUGACGGUACCCAAAGAAUAAGCAACGGCUAACUUCGUG
RNAcentral lists this ribosomal RNA (492 nucleotides) under uncultured bacterium. RNAcentral's name for it is "partial 16S ribosomal RNA". It matches the Rfam family "Bacterial small subunit ribosomal RNA", at positions 29 to 507 of the family's 1533-position model. The record is from RNAcentral.